Molecule: long non-coding RNA, 1708 nt
Organism: Pezoporus flaviventris
Lineage: Eukaryota; Metazoa; Chordata; Aves; Psittaciformes; Psittacidae
Exons: 3
Source: RefSeq, a predicted model, not a curated record
GAAGGGCACGUUCAAAAGUACGUACACUUCAGGACUUCUCUACAAGAGGCCAAAUCCCAAGAGAUUUACUAAACAUGACCCAUGGAAAAAAAUAUUAAAAAAUCUGAAAAUCAACUGAAAUUUGAAAGGUUUGUCCAGAAUGUCUUUUACAAAAUAAUUAUCAGCCAUUAAUUUUAUGACAGAGAGAUCAAGGAAUCACACUGCAACUGUAACAAGAGCAGCUAGGUAGGUGGAUAAUAUUAGUACUUCUGGAAGAAACUCCCUUACAAAGUAACUAUGAGAAAUGACUAGAUGUAGCUAACACCACAGAUGCCUUUCCACAUCUGGCAGGAAUAGCCACAUCUUUAGAAACAAUGUUACUGUUUCAGUAAAAGCGCUGCAAAACUUGUGCAGACUUUGGGCAGCGGGACUCCCUCUUCUUCCCAUUUUUGCCCUUGGAGUUUCCAGCUGGUAUCUAGGCAAGCACCAGGGAGGCAGGGCAAUACACACUGCAGUUUGUUUGUCUAAUAGCCUCAGCAGAACCCACUCCAUCCAUAGGUUUGUGAAGUGCUGUAAGUGUUAAGGAAUUAAUAAUCAAAAUCCUGUGUUUUCAACUUAGAAGUAAGAUACCUUCAUUUUGCCGCAUCCAGCUGACUCCCUUCACAUUCCUUUCACUCCACAACUGGUGCAGACUUACAACUGUAAGUUUCACAAGUGUUUAACUGACUAAGGAACCAUAAAAUUAGCUUUCUCCCACUGCUGGCUGAACUAAGUGGCAUGACUUUCCAUUGCCCCAGGUUAGGUAACAACAGCAGGUCAGCAGCUGCAGGGUCAUGAAGCUCACACCACAGCCUGGCUUGCAGUGCAAAUUGUCUGGAGGAUUCUUCACACCCAUGGGGAAUAUCCCUUCUCUGCUCUGGAGGUGACCUAAGGGCUAAGCCCCAGUGUCACAGUCAGGUUACUGGGACAAUGAGGAGCUUACCCUGUAAGAUUCAGGGUUUAACAGCUUGCCCCAUUUCCUCUGCAGUUCAGCUCUCGCCAGCCUUGCCAUACGAAUGGCACACAUCACAUUUACUGCACUGGGCACGCCGGUUCAUGGCUGCUCACCACCUGCAUUAGGAAGCCACCCAUUCAGUAAGGGGUGCCUCGUAUACAGCUUAUUAAAAGAAAUCCAAUAAAUCAAAGAGCCUUGUAUCCAGACAUCAAAACUUUGGAAACUGUGCUUUGUGAAAGUUAUCUGCCAGGGUGAAACAAUGCCGUGAUUGUUUCAGGGCAUGUCAACACACAAAGACAUGGGAACUAAGCUCUGUGUCACAUUAACAGUGUUAAACGGACUUCUGAAGUUGGCUCACACACUGGGUCAGCUGAGAGCUCAAACUGAGGAAUCCAAGAUCUGUUACCACCUAUCCACAGAAGGAUGUGAAAGAAAUGCUGUUCAUUUCUGAGCACUGAAAUGUAAAACAGCAACUAGCAAAGCCUAAAUUUCUAUUUCUACUGCUUCUGUUAAAAUCUUUCCUCUAAGUGCAAAUAAAAAAAUACCACAUACAAACUCAUCCUCUGUUUUUGGAAAGUGGCUGUAGCUGGAAGGAUGCCUAUCUGAUAUAGGCAAGAUGUCUUCAUUUAGUGGUGUUACGUACAUAGCUACAUAUACUGGGUCAGUGAGAUGCAUAGAACUAGUCAUCGAGUCAACAAUAUUUGUACAAAGCCAGCUAUGUUUCUUUUCCCAAUG